This 503-nucleotide ribosomal RNA is filed under the name uncultured bacterium. Its description in RNAcentral is "partial 16S ribosomal RNA". It matches the Rfam family "Bacterial small subunit ribosomal RNA", at positions 30 to 523 of the family's 1533-position model. The record is from RNAcentral.
AUUGAACGCUGGCGGCAGGCUUAACACAUGCAAGUCGAGCGGGGUGAUGGUGCUUGCACUAUCACUUAGCGGCGGACGGGUGAGUAAUGUUUAGGAAUCUGCCUAUUAGUGGGGGACAACAUCUCGAAAGGGAUGCUAAUACCGCAUACGUCCUACGGGAUAAAGCAGGGGAUCACUUGUGACCUUGCGCUAAUAGAUGAGCCUAAGUCGGGUUAGCUAGUUGGUGGGGUAAAGGCCUACCAAGGCGACGAUCUGUAGCGGGUCUGAGAGGAUGAACCGCCACACUGGGACUGAGACACGGCCCAGACUCCUACGGGAGGCAGCAGUGGGGAAUAUUGGACAAUGGGGGGAACCCUGAUCCAGCCAUGCCGCGUGUGUGAAGAAGGCCUUAUGGUUGUAAAGCACUUUAAGCGAGGAGGAGGCUCUUUUGGUUAAUACCCAAGAUGAGUGGACGUUACUCGCAGAAUAAGCACCGGCUAACUCUGUGCCAGCAGCCGCCGUAA